Molecule: long non-coding RNA, 310 nt
Filed under: Salvia miltiorrhiza (redroot sage)
Lineage: Eukaryota; Viridiplantae; Streptophyta; Magnoliopsida; Lamiales; Lamiaceae
Description: long non-coding RNA (SMIL_LNC002560)
Source: RNAcentral
CGGGAUCUAGUGUGACGCAAUAUUUUGGAUAUCGACCGAUAUGAAACGAGAAGAAAAAAUGACACCGAUAUUUUUAACGUGGUUCGGCCAAACUGCCUACGUCCACGGACCCACACCAAUAUAUUAGAGAAUCUCAAAAGGAGGAGUACAACAAAAAUACCACACUGUAUUUUGUAUCUGCCUACGCAGAGGCUAUCUCUCAACUCACUUUUAUCACUCGUGUAUAACUUCCACACUGAAGUUUUCUCUCACAAGAUUUUUCUCUCUCUCUCUUUCUCUAUCUCUCUCUAGCAGAAAGCUUUGAUUGUUG